ACCAACUCAUAAGCAUUAUGCACAGGUUCACACUGAAUCGCUCCAGUAUCAUAUAAACAAUGGAUCUAUCAUACAUAAACACAGGUGUUUUGUCAAUGGACAUAUGUCCGUUCUCAAUAUCCAGUGUAGCUUGUGCUAAAACCUAAAAAAAAUCUGGUGUCCCUUUAGCCAACGAAAGGUCGCUCGUCCUAUAUAGAUUUG
This 201-nucleotide unclassified non-coding RNA is filed under the name Hevea brasiliensis (rubber tree). The record is from RNAcentral. Lineage: Eukaryota; Viridiplantae; Streptophyta; Magnoliopsida; Malpighiales; Euphorbiaceae.